CUGCGGGAGAGCGGCCGGCAGCGGCAGCGCUGAGCGGGCUCUUCCCAUCGCGGGCCAGGUGAACGUUGUUCAGGCAGCAUCUCCGGGGGCUCUCGGGCGCCUGCCGCUUCUCAGUGUUCUUUUCCUGGACACGACGGUGUGGCAGCAGAGACCCGGGGAUACUCGGGAGAAGCUGAUGUCCCGAGGGAGAAGGCUUUGGCCGCCAGCCGCAACCCGCUUCGCUGAGGAGCGGGAGCUCCCAUCGGAUGAACUGGAAGUCGGGCAGAAGCCAUGCAUCAGGCCCAUAACCUCACGCGCUUCGACCACCAGGCUGGAGCUCCCAGCUGGGAACCAACGCCGACCCGGCAAAUUUCAAACCGUUCCUCUCUGUCCUGAGUUUAAAGACUUAAGUGCAAACUUAUCCGAAUUUUUCAGUUUUUCUUCCCUUAAAAUUAACAUAGUCAUGACUGAGAACGUGAGAUAUAUGGAAAGUCACUUCUGAAACAAAGCCUUUUUAAUUUACCAGUGCAACUGGAAGAAGACCUCAAAAUUGAGAGAAGAACAGAGAGGAGUGAAAAGCCUGAGUGCUGUUUUUCUCAUAAGAGUGUGUCAGAUGAAAGUUAGCAAUGUUUAUGGCAGUAGUAACUCUCUAAUUGAGGACAGUUGAAGAACAGAAAAGCAUAAGGAAUUUUCCUUAUUCCAAAGAUAAAAAAAAGUCAAUUUGCUGUUAGCUGGCUUAGGCUUCAUGCAAGCAGCAGAUACUGCAAUACCAAGGCGUAGUGACUGGCCACACCAGCUGAGGACAUGUAUGGACAUUCCCUGGAUCAGACCAAUAUGCUUCUGGCCAGUCUGGGUUGGGAUAAUGACUAGAAUCUUCCAGUCCAUGUUCUGUAGGUCAGAAGAUUCAGAAUGCAGUUUUGGCACAACUACAAGCUACAGAUGAGCUGGUCUGCUGCAUCAUUCUGGAAUGCCCCCUGUGCUGGGAAUAGGGGUACUGCUUUGCUCCAGCUGUUCUGACACCCACUCAGUUCAGUGUCCUAUCCCUUGUUCUGUCCAAGCACACCUCCAAAAAAAAGAUAACAAUGCCAUAGUCAGCAGAUUUGGAUCAACCUUUCUUUCAGGGUACUAAGAUUUCAGACAGUUAAGGAGAUAAGAGAGGAAAGGCUGCUUUGCAUAUUUAGCUCAUCAGUUAAUGCUUCCUAAUGAGACAAAGGUGGAAGAUAUGAAUACAAAACUGAUCAUAAAAAAAUAAAAUCAAUGAUGCCAAAGAAAGCAUAGAGUGACAGAAAGAGUAUGGAUUUCCAAAAGUGGAUUUUUCUUGGCUUGCAGAAUGAACGGGUGGGUAGAUCUUUUGGAAGAAAUUCAUAAGGAAACAGAAGCAUAGGAGAGCCAACAGUUACUGAACAAAGUGUAUUAAAGGCACAACAGCAGAUUACCCUGAUGUAAAGUAGGCACUGACAGAGAGCAGCAAGGCUUCAUUAGGAGCUUUUUGGUUAACUGAAAAACAGGAAGGAAUCAUGCAAAACAGCGAAAACAAGAACCAAUUACUAAAAUUUAGUUAAAAAUAAUAGUAAACUCACAUGAGGAACAAAGGAUGAAGGCAAAGAAGCUAUAUGAGUUCAUCUAGGAAAGGACCUAAAAGCCAAUAGAAGGUUACAUACACACAAACUAAGGGAAACAAAUUAAAAUUCAAGUCCAGUAUCUAAGGAAAAGACAGCAAAUAAUGCAACACAAAGAAUUCUGAAAUUUUCAAUGAUUAUUUGCCUAAUGUGUCUACAAAAUAUCUUAGUGUCAGACAUACAAAGAAAUUAAUUUUAACAAACGUCUAAAACACACAGACCAGAAAAGGGAAGAAAUGUGUUAAGCAAUAUUAAGAAAUGCCAGUUUCUUAUCCUGAUGACUUAAACAUGUAGUUCAGAAAGCAGUGGAUAAAGCCAGCCUCCCUGUAGCCUUGUGUCUCCUGAUUGCAUUAGCCCAGAGCAAAAAGGAUGGCUGAAAUUUAUGGCUGGAAUAUUCAUAACAAUCUUCUGUGAGUUUUCCACUGCCGGAUAUCAGGGUUUCUUUUACACUGAAUUCCUUGUUGCCAUGGAAGGCUCUCUAUUUACCUGCUUAUCUUCACAAAAUCUGUAGAAAUGUGGUAUCUCUGAGACCGCAACCACUCGGUCCAGUUCAGUUGGAGAGUAAGCAACAAGUUCAAAAGGCAUGGUGUGGCCUGACUAGUCAUAUUUCAGAUCGUAUAAACUGUGUUUCCAUAGGAAAAUGUGCUAAAAAUUACCCUGGAGCACUUUAAAGAUAAAAUAAUCUCUGUAUGAUGAUUCUGGGAUGGAAGCAGAGGGAGGGUGUUCUGGAAGAGUAUUUUGUUGUGGUUUGGGUUUUUUGAGAAUUCAUGAAGUCCAACUGAGGUCCAAGAAGACUAGAAAUGAUGAAAAUACUUCCUUAGGAAACAAAAUGCCAUUGACCUCUCAUAAAUAACCAUGCAUCUCUGAGAGAUACUGUCAUAGGUUAUUAGGCAGUUAGUGUAUAGGCAUGAAGAGAACAAUAUGUAGAAAACAAUUAGGUAGUAAGGCCUUAAAAUGUAAUCUUAGGAUCAUUAUUGUGUCAAACCUCUCCAAUUUCCUUCCUAGAAAGGAAAGGCAGGCCUAUUGAAUACGAAGGAAGCAGUAAAUGUGAUAUCUGUACUUUAACAAAGCCUUUAGUUACUUCCUCUCUAAUUUUGCCUGCAGUACAAAAAAUGGUGUAGACAAAGUCAAGUAACAGUUGACACACAAGUAGUUAAGUAUUUCUCCCAAAAAGUAUUUAUUUAAUGGUUUUCUGACAGAGUAGGAUGGCACUGCAGUAACAUCCUUCAGGGUCUUCUCAUCCAUCCUAUUCUAUUCAAUUUUUCAUUGAACAGUUUGGAAAAUAGAAAAGGGAGUAAACUUGUAAAAUUUGCAAAAAGCCAGAAAGGGAGUUGCAAACACAGGUAAGCAGAUCAGAAUCCAAAAUAUUUAGAUAAUGUGAGAAACUACAAGUGCAAUAAGCUCAUACUAGAUAAACUGAAAUUGACAAAACCAGAGUAUAUUAAUAUAAGCUCAUGAUGCUUUAACAAGGCAACAGGAUUGCAAAGAAAGAUAGGAAGGUUCAAGUGGAUUUCAAACUAAAUAUGAGUCAACAUGAUGAUGUUGCAGAAAGGCAUUUCACAUUCCAAGAUGUAUUAGGAAGUGUGCAGAAUGUGAGAUACAGGACCUAAUUAUUUCGCAAUCUUCAGUGCUGCUGAGGUCUCAGCUGGCACAUUCUGUGCAAUUUUGGGCAAUGCACUCCAAAAACAAUUUCAACAAUUUGGAUGGAGUUGAAAUGAAAUCAACAAGAAUGAUAUUUUGAGAAUAUGACUUACAAGGAAAGGUUGAAGAAAUGAGGCUUUGCUUCCUCAGAAAAAGAAGACUGGAUGGAAAAUGCAUAAAAGGUUGCAUACAAAAAGUCAUGGUCAACAGAUCUUUGUACACACCUGAAUUAUAACAAGUAACUACUUAAUUUGUAACGAAGAAGAGUGGCCUAGAUACAAAAAAUGAAACAACAAAAAAAAAUCCUUUCAACCUAAAGUCUAGAUUAGAUGGAAUAGAUUUAUGAGGUUGUGGAAUCCCCUUCAUUUGUGGUUUUUAACAGCAGCCUAUACAAACAUCUGUCAGGGGUGACCUAGUUACCCAUUUCCUACCACAACAGGGAUAGACUGGACCUCCUUUUUUUUUUUUUUUUCCCCCCACUGUAAUGAUUUCAUGACUGGAGAACCUGUUUCAUUUAACUUGGUUGCUACAGAUUAAGCAGUACAACUGUUACAACUGAGGAGCCAAGGCCUUAGUAAAAUAAAACAAACCUCCA
Molecule: long non-coding RNA, 3834 nt
Organism: Cyanistes caeruleus (blue tit)
Lineage: Eukaryota; Metazoa; Chordata; Aves; Passeriformes; Paridae
Source: RefSeq, a predicted model, not a curated record